AAUAAUCCUAUUUUUCGUUUUUCUGUGUCCAACGUUUGACCAUUCGUCUUAUUUGAAAAAUUAGUGCAAAAACCUAAAAAAAUUAGUCAUGUAUAAAGUACUAUUCAUAUUUUAUCAUCUAGUAAUAAUAAAAAUUUUAAUCGUAAAAAUUUUUUAAAUAAGACGAAUGGUCAAACAUUGGGCACGGAAAAAC
This is a non-coding RNA of Oryza brachyantha (malo sina), 193 nucleotides long. The record is from Rfam. NCBI's taxonomy places the organism in Eukaryota, Viridiplantae, Streptophyta, Magnoliopsida, Poales, Poaceae.